AUUAAACGCUGGCGGCAUGCCUUACACAUGCAAGUCGAACGGCAGCACGGGGGCAACCCUGGUGGCGAGUGGCGAACGGGUGAGUAAAGCAUCGGAACGUGCCCUGGAGUGGGGGAUAACGUAGCGAAAGUUACGCUAAUACCGCAUAUUCUGUGAGCAGGAAAGCAGGGGAUCGCAAGACCUUGCGCUCUGGGAGCGGCCGAUGUCGGAUUAGCUAGUUGGUGGGGUAAAGCCUACCAAGGCGACGAUCCGUAGCGGGUCUGAGAGGAUGAUCCGCCACACUGGGACUGAGACACGGUCCAGACUCCUACGGGAGGCAGCAG
This 323-nucleotide ribosomal RNA is filed under the name uncultured bacterium. RNAcentral describes it as "bacterial SSU rRNA". It matches the Rfam family "Bacterial small subunit ribosomal RNA", at positions 30 to 354 of the family's 1533-position model. The record is from RNAcentral.